This is a long non-coding RNA of Ictalurus punctatus (channel catfish), 430 nucleotides long. The record is from Ensembl. NCBI's taxonomy places the organism in Eukaryota, Metazoa, Chordata, Actinopteri, Siluriformes, Ictaluridae.
GGUGAAAACUCUCACACGUGUUAAUAGUGUGAUUAAGGUGUGUACACGUCCGUAACGUGACUAAAACAGGAAAAACUCCACACGUUUAAUUCCAUCUGUGUUUACUUCGAGUGUGACUUUAAUCAGAUUAAGAUCAUCAGUAAUCUCUGUUUACAUGCUGCUGUCUUAAUCAGAGUAUCGUCUUAAUCGGAUUAAUAUCGGAUUAUCGCCGUCCGUGUAAACAAACUGAUUGUCUCGACAUCAUUUCCUCUCCUUCGUGGCGGGCCGAUCUGAGUAAUCACUCUUUUAUUACAGUCGGCUUUAUUUACAGAAAUGUUUUCAUGGCCAAACCGAGCGAGCGAUUCCUGCCGCAUUUACAAACCUUUCAGCUGCAUUCGUUUUCUGCGUACUCGUGUGCGUAUAUUCCUGGUAUGUACGUUUGCGUUUAGCC